UCCGGAGUAGCUCAACGGCAGAGCGGGUGGCUGUUAACCACUAGGUUGGGGGUUCAAAUCCCUCCUCCGGAG
RNAcentral lists this transfer RNA (72 nucleotides) under Caldithrix sp. RBG_13_44_9. RNAcentral's name for it is "tRNA-Asn". It matches the Rfam family "tRNA". Rfam says of the family: Transfer RNA (tRNA) molecules are approximately 80 nucleotides in length. Their secondary structure includes four short double-helical elements and three loops (D, anti-codon, and T loops). Further hydrogen bonds mediate the characteristic L-shaped molecular structure. tRNAs have two regions of fundamental functional importance: the anti-codon, which is responsible for specific mRNA codon recognition, and the 3' end, to which the tRNAs corresponding amino acid is attached (by aminoacyl-tRNA synthetases). tRNAs cope with the degeneracy of the genetic code in two manners: having more than one tRNA (with a specific anti-codon) for a particular amino acid; and 'wobble' base-pairing, i.e. permitting non-standard base-pairing at the 3rd anti-codon position. The record is from RNAcentral. Lineage: Bacteria; Pseudomonadati; Calditrichota; Calditrichia; Calditrichales; Calditrichaceae.